RNAcentral lists this ribosomal RNA (164 nucleotides) under Stutzerimonas stutzeri. RNAcentral describes it as "Pseudomonas stutzeri 5.8S ribosomal RNA". It matches the Rfam family "5.8S ribosomal RNA". Rfam says of the family: 5.8S ribosomal RNA (5.8S rRNA) is a component of the large subunit of the eukaryotic ribosome. It is transcribed by RNA polymerase I as part of the 45S precursor that also contains 18S and 28S rRNA. Lineage: Bacteria; Pseudomonadati; Pseudomonadota; Gammaproteobacteria; Pseudomonadales; Pseudomonadaceae. The record is from RNAcentral.
CACACGACUCUCGGCAACGGAUAUCUCGGCUCUCGCAUCGAUGAAGAACGUAGCGAAAUGCGAUACCUGGUGUGAAUUGCAGAAUCCCGCGAACCAUCGAGUCUUUGAACGCAAGUUGCACCCGAGGCCACUCGGCCGAGGGCACGCCUGCCUGGGCGUCACGC